AACGAACGCUGGCGGCAUGCCUAACACAUGCAAGUCGAACGAUACCUUCGGGUCUAGUGGCGCACGGGUGCGUAACGCGUGGGAACCUUCACUUAGGUUCGGAAUAACUCCCCGAAAGGGGUGCUAAUACCGGAUAAUAUCUUCGAACCAAAGAUUUAUCGCCUUGGGAUGGGGCCGCGUUGGAUUAGCUAGUUGGUAGGGUAAAAGCCUACCAAGGCGACGAUCCAUAGCUGGUCUGAGAGGAUGAUCAGCCACACUGGGACUGAGACACGGCCCAGACUCCUACGGGAGGCAGCAGUGGGGAAUAUUGGACAAUGGGCGAAAGCCUGAUCCAGCAAUGUCGCGUGAGUGAUGAAGGCGUUAGGGUUGUAAAGCUCUGUUACCCGGGAUGAUAAUGACAGUACCGGGAGAAUAAGCGCCGGCUAACUCCGUG
RNAcentral lists this ribosomal RNA (433 nucleotides) under uncultured bacterium. Its description in RNAcentral is "partial 16S ribosomal RNA". It matches the Rfam family "Bacterial small subunit ribosomal RNA", at positions 29 to 507 of the family's 1533-position model. The record is from RNAcentral.